UAGCCAGGCCAUUCGGGUGUAUGUACCUUUCUACUUGUGGAGAAUCAAGGUAGGAUCCGGUAGGAAUCAAGAUAGGAAGCCGUGACGCGUUCUUCGAGCGUUGAGAGGACAAACACAACUUGGUCGAACUCGUAAUCCUCAUCGCUUCCUCCACAUCAUCUCCAUCUUCCAUAUCCUGACCGUGAAGUUAUCGCGCCAGUUUGGAGAUGAGAAUUUGCAAGAAGCGAGAUAAGUGUGGCAGACAGGGGUGAGGUAAGUCAGCCUUUUCAUCCCAUGUUUGUCGGGAUGUGCUGCACACCGAGUGCGUUGUCAGUGGACAUAAGCCACUUACCUGAUUCCACACACUGUAGCGUUUUCUUAGAGAUACAUUACGCAAACGUUAAAAAUGCUCUAACUAUUUUAGCUUGCGAUACAGAGAAUUUGAAAGGUCUUUAUUAAAAGAACUUUUUUUUUAUUGAAUGUAUUUAAGGAGAGGUUUGGGCUUAUGUGUGGCGCCGGCUACUCCUCUUCUCUUGCGUGACAGUUAUCGUCGGAAAGCUGUCAUCACCAAACUGGACAAACAAACACAUGAACAAACAUUCACGUACUAGGUAUCAGUACUGCAAUGUAAAUAAAUGACCGCGCAAUAAGAUAGGUCACAUAGCAUACACGCUCACAAAACCGAAAUGUGCAUACGCAACACAUGAGUUCACACAGCAUGAAUGUUCAAAAAACCAAGUCAUUCACGCAUAAGAUGUUGGACAUUUACAUACCGCACUCUAUAUGCAACAAAUACGAAUGCUUCAUGAUCACGAAUACACAAUGAACAUGUAAUUAAGGGUGCCUGUCAAUAUUAACAAUGCGAGCUAUAACUACUGUAUGACAGUAUUUUUGCGAUAUGUUUGAUUCCUCCAAAAAUUGUACAAGGCGCACGCAACGAUGGUUUGAAGUUUUUCUGUUAGCAAUGGAGCUAAAGUUUUUCCUAAGGAUAGUGGCCGUCUAUCCAAGGCAUGUAGUUUUUUCGAGAGAUUCUUGCGGGGAGAAUCGUGAUUUUUACAGUGUAGAAGAAGGUGUUCCAUAUCUUCAGCCUCUUCACAUGAGCAUCUAGCACUGUUAGUUUAUUUAUCCUAUACAGGAAGAUUUUAGUAUAGCCAGUGCCUACUCAAAGCCCAUGAACUGUUGUUUCAGCAGAUAGACUAAUUUUAAACGGAAUAUUCAAUUCUAUUCCAGGAUCUAUAUUAUACAAUUGAGAGUUCUGCGCAUCAUUUAUGAACCAAGUUUCCUUGGACAAUCUACCCCACAGUUUGUUCAUUAGACAUCGCGCUUCACUCGCCGCUUGAUGAAUUAAUGAUAAUUCAUUCUCUUGAUGUGCUGCACGUGCCACGUGAUCAGCUGUUACAUUUCCCAUGAUUUCACAGUGACUUGGAAUCCACUGGAAAGUUAUGUCGUGUCGUAGAUCUUUCGUUAUGGCAUACGUCUUCUGUAUUUCGUAUGUCAAUGUGCUGUUUGCUUUUCUUAACCUGAUUUCUUUUAAGCACAGCAAUGAGACUUGUGAGUCACUCAGAAUUACCCAACGAAGGGGCUCUGAUUGCUGACAUAUGUACCGUAAAGCAGAAAGUAUUGCGCAAGGUUCUGCAGUUGUCGACGUUGUAGAGUGGCAGUUUAUAAGCUCCUUUUCUCUUGGUGUGCAGGUAUAUAAAACGCAGAUGUAGAGCUUUGUUUCCAGCAUGAGUCAUCGGUAUACACGUGAAUGCGAUCUACGUACUUAGUGUAAAGACGUGAUAAAGUUAAUUGCUUUAUCGCAACUAUGGGCAUUUCACAUCUGCGACCUACUCCAGGAAUUGAAGUGACUAUUUCUGGAAAUGUUAGUCGCCAUGGGGGAUGAGUUGCGCAAGUAGGCCAGCAUUUGUAAGCAGGCAGGAAGUUUUUGCACCGCCGUAUUUCUUCAUGUAUGCGAGCAGCGGUUCUAUCCUGAAGGUCUUGGCGUAGUGGAUGAUUAGCGUGUUGUGUAGCCAAACGAAAAAAGUGACGACACGUUUCCGUAAAUCUUAGUGCAUGAAAAGUUGGUUGACGAGACUCGGCAAUUACCAAAGCACAGCAGAUGCAUGCGGAACACCAAUACAUAUGCGAAGGCUUCUGGCCAGCAAUCUUUGAAUUGUUUCCUCUAGAUUACAGGAUAUUCCAUGUAGCAGAGGAGCAGCGUGUGCUAUUCUUUGUCUAAUGAUUGCCGAGUGAAUGCGUAAUAAGGAAGAGGUUGAACUACCCCAUCUAACUCCAGUAAAUAGACGGAGAAUGUUGAUUAGAGGGUUGGCUUUCUCCUCUAAUGCUUUUAUUUGGGGAGCCCGUGGUAGCCGUCGGUCUAUGAUAAUACCCAAGAAUUUGUGUUGUCGCACGAGUUGCAGACGCUGAGUCUAGCACGAGCUGGAAUCUCUUGAGGCAUUUCCCUGUAAAAGAAAGUACAGCAGUUUUCUCAUGUGAAAUCAUACCUCUGCUUUUCAAAAA
Molecule: long non-coding RNA, 2481 nt
Filed under: Dermacentor andersoni
Lineage: Eukaryota; Metazoa; Arthropoda; Arachnida; Ixodida; Ixodidae
Description: uncharacterized LOC126539513
Source: RNAcentral